RNAcentral lists this ribosomal RNA (240 nucleotides) under uncultured bacterium. RNAcentral describes it as "partial 16S ribosomal RNA". It matches the Rfam family "Bacterial small subunit ribosomal RNA", at positions 95 to 334 of the family's 1533-position model. The record is from RNAcentral.
UUGGCGGACGGGUGAGUAACGCGUGAGGAACCUGCCUCAAAGAGGGGACAACAGUUGGAAACGACUGCUAAUACCGCAUAAGCCCACGGGUCGGCAUCGACCAGAGGGAAAAGGAGCAAUCCGCUUUGAGAUGGCCUCGCGUCCGAUUAGCUAGUUGGUGAGGUAACGGCCCACCAAGGCGACGAUCGGUAGCCGGACUGAGAGGUUGAACGGCCACAUUGGGACUGAGACACGGCCCAG